GAUGAACGCUGGCGGCGUGCCUAAUACAUGCAAGUCGAGCGAACGGACGAGAAGCUUGCUUCUCUGAUGUUAGCGGCGGACGGGUGAGUAACACGUGGAUAACCUACCUAUAAGACUGGGAUAACUUCGGGAAACCGUAGCUAAUACCGGAUAAUAUUUUGAACCGCAUGGUUCAAAAGUGAAAGACGGUCUUGCUGUCACUUAUAGAUGGAUCCGCGCUGCAUUAGCUAGUUGGUAAGGUAACGGCUUACCAAGGCAACGAUGCAUAGCCGACCUGAGAGGGUGAUCGGCCACACUGGAACUGAGACACGUUCCAGACUCCUACGGGAAGCAGCAGUAGGGAAUCUUCCGCAAUGGGCGAAAGCCUGACGGAGCAACGCCGCGUGAGUGAUGAAGGUCUUCGGAUCGGAAAACUCUGUUAUUAGGGAAGAACAUAUGUGUAAGUAACUGUGCACAUCUUGACGGUACCUAAUCAGAAAGCCACGGCUAACUACGUG
Molecule: ribosomal RNA, 497 nt
Filed under: uncultured bacterium
Lineage: Bacteria
Description: partial 16S ribosomal RNA
Rfam family: Bacterial small subunit ribosomal RNA
Source: RNAcentral